RNAcentral lists this ribosomal RNA (481 nucleotides) under uncultured bacterium. Its description in RNAcentral is "partial 16S ribosomal RNA". It matches the Rfam family "Bacterial small subunit ribosomal RNA", at positions 28 to 507 of the family's 1533-position model. The record is from RNAcentral.
GAUGAACGCUGGCGGCGUGCUUAACACAUGCAAGUCGAACGAAACACCUUAUUUGAUUUUCUUCGGAACUGAAGAUUUGGUGAUUGAGUGGCGGACGGGUGAGUAACGCGUGGGUAACCUGCCCUGUACAGGGGGAUAACAGUCAGAAAUGACUGCUAAUACCGCAUAAGACCACAGCACCGCAUGGUGCAGGGGUAAAAACUCCGGUGGUACAGGAUGGACCCGCGUCUGAUUAGCUGGUUGGUGAGGUAACGGCUCACCAAGGCGACGAUCAGUAGCCGGCUUGAGAGAGUGAACGGCCACAUUGGGACUGGGACACGGCCCAAACUCCUACGGGAGGCAGCAGUGGGGAAUAUUGCACAAUGGGGGAAACCCUGAUGCAGCGACGCCGCGUGAGUGAAGAAGUAUUUCGGUAUGUAAAGCUCUAUCAGCAGGGAAGAAAAUGACGGUACCUGACUAAGAAGCCCCGGCUAACUACGUG